This 538-nucleotide ribosomal RNA is filed under the name uncultured bacterium. Its description in RNAcentral is "bacterial SSU rRNA". It matches the Rfam family "Bacterial small subunit ribosomal RNA", at positions 8 to 526 of the family's 1533-position model. The record is from RNAcentral.
AGAGUUUGAUCAUGGCUCAGGACGAACGCUGGCGGCGUGCUUAACACAUGCAAGUCGAGCGAGGACGGCCUUCGGGCCGAGUCGAGCGGCGGACGGGUGAGUAACACGUGAGCAAUCUGUCUCCGUGCGGGGGACAACUCGGGGAAACUCGAGCUAAUACCGCAUGGUCGGGGACCCCGAGUGGGGACCCCGGGAAAGGUGGCCUCUUUACAAUGCUGCCGCGCGGAGAGGAGCUCGCGUCCUAUCAGCUAGUUGGUGGGGUAACGGCCCACCAAGGCGACGACGGGUAGCGGGUCUGAGAGGAUGGCCCGCCACAUUGGGACUGAGACACGGCCCAGACUCCUACGGGAGGCAGCAGUGGGGAAUCUUGCGCAAUGGCCGAAAGGCUGACGCAGCGACGCCGCGUGUGGGAGGAAGCCCUUCGGGGCGUAAACCACUGUCAGGAGGGACGAAUUUCCGGGGUGGGAAUACUGCCUCGGGUUGACGGUACCUUCAGAGGAAGCGCCGGCUAACUCCGUGCCAGCAGCCGCGGUAAUAC